AGGUCUUGACAUCCCGAUGCUAUUUCUAGAGAUAGAAGUUACUUCGGUACAUCGGUUGACAGGUGGUGCAUGGUUGUCGUCAGCUCGUGUCGUGAGAUGUUGGGUUAAGUCCCGCAACGAGCGCAACCCCUGUGGUUAGUUGCCAGCAAGUAGCGUUGGGCACUCUAGCCAGACUGCCGGUGAUAAAUCGGAGGAAGGCGGGGACGACGUCAAAUCAUCAUGCCCUUUAUGUCCUGGGCUACACACGUACUACAAUGGCCGUUACAACGGGAAGCGAAGGAGCAAUCCGGAGCAAAUCCCUUAAAGGCGGUCCCAGUUCAGAUUGUGGGCUGAAACUCGCCCACAUGAAGGCGGAAUUGCUAGUAAUUGCAGAUCAGCAUGCUGCAGUGAAUACGUUCCCGGGCCUU
RNAcentral lists this ribosomal RNA (407 nucleotides) under uncultured Paenibacillus sp. RNAcentral's name for it is "bacterial SSU rRNA". It matches the Rfam family "Bacterial small subunit ribosomal RNA", at positions 976 to 1382 of the family's 1533-position model. The record is from RNAcentral. Lineage: Bacteria; Bacillati; Bacillota; Bacilli; Caryophanales; Paenibacillaceae.